UGUUAGCCUCUGUCAAGCACUCCUGG
This 26-nucleotide non-coding RNA is filed under the name Mus musculus (house mouse). Lineage: Eukaryota; Metazoa; Chordata; Mammalia; Rodentia; Muridae. The record is from RNAcentral.